ACAUGGAUCCUGCAGCAGGGCAAACAAAAAGAACCAAACAUUGUAUUUGUUAUCAAAAUGUAUAAUUCCAAGGGGAAGAGUACUAGUUUGCAGAGUUAAAGAUAGAACUAACUGGUUUGAAAGGUAAUGCACUUUAUUAUCUUCUCCCUCAAUGUGCUUCAGCUCCCUCAGUUUCAUUAUCUUCCCCUGUUAUUGAACUAGA
This 202-nucleotide long non-coding RNA is filed under the name Linum usitatissimum (flax). RNAcentral describes it as "long non-coding RNA (LUSI_LNC000197)". Lineage: Eukaryota; Viridiplantae; Streptophyta; Magnoliopsida; Malpighiales; Linaceae. The record is from RNAcentral.